UACGAAGGGGGCUAGCGUUGCUCGGAUUGACUGGGCGUAAAGGGCGCGUAGGCGGUUCGUACAGUCAGACGUGAAAUUCCUGGGCUCAACCUGGGAACUGCGUUUGUGACUGCAAGACUCGAGUGCGGCAGAGGGGGGUGGAAUUCCACGUGUAGCAGUGAAAUGCGUAGAGAUGUGGAGGAACACCGAUGGCGAAGGCAGCCCCCUGGGUCGACACUGACGCUCAUGCACGAAAGCGUGGGGAGCAAACAGG
Molecule: ribosomal RNA, 253 nt
Filed under: uncultured bacterium
Lineage: Bacteria
Description: partial 16S ribosomal RNA
Rfam family: Bacterial small subunit ribosomal RNA
Source: RNAcentral